GAUUUUUAUUUUGGAAAUUCUUAGAUUGUUCAAACACUUGCUAUGCUAUUAGGAUUAAUGUUGAGAAACCGUAGGUUAUAAUUUGUAACUUCACAAAAAAAGAAUUUUUAAUAUCAUUAUUUAAGGUGGUUUCAUUAACUUCUUGCUUAUUCAAACACUUGCGUCGAAAUAUAUGCUGAAUUAUUUUUUUUAGGACAUUCUAAUGUGUGCUACACAAAAGGUUAUUCUUACAUAAAUGACAAUAUACGACCAAUAUAUAAUGAAUCUAAAAAAUAAAUUAAAAGAACAACUCUAAUUUAUUUAAAAUUUAUUUUAGAAGUCUAAACUUUUUGACAUAUAAGUGUGAAAUUUAUUAUUGCUAAAAAAGAUCUGAUUAACCAGUUGAUAGUUGAUAAUGUUUUAUGAAAACAUUUCUUGUUCAUUUUCCUUUCAAAAAAGAAGACAUAUAAAUAGGAAAAAGACAAAGUUAUAAGCUUAGAUAAGGGGGUUGCAUUUAACUAGCCAUAAUAUAGAGUGAUUUCAUAUUUUCCUUCAAAGAAAUUAGAGAGCAACAAGGGAAGUCUUAGCAUAAAUAACUAUAACUAUUACCCGUCGUACUGUAGGAAACAUAAAAUCAUCAUGCCUGAAAAAUUGGAAAUUGAACUGAUGGCGGAACUCAUAAAUACAGUAUUUUCCUGCCAAUCUAACAAACAAAUGCUUGAAUAUGAAGUUUAAAGCAUCUUCAACUAAAUGUGUUCCAUACUCCUCUAGCAUUUCACACAACAUUAAAAAGACCUUCCAUCUUUCUUGACUACUCAAAUACCCAUCAUCUGGAUGCAAUACCUCUCCAACUCACAAGAACUUUGCUUCUUCUUCAGCCCACAUGUCUCUCUUUGUGAUGUAAGCCUGUGAUGACGUUCCAUUACAUGAAGUAGUACACACAACCGAAUCAGCAGCAACAAAAUUUGAAGCACUGUACAAGUAUUGACAGUUGGUGUGGUUGUAAAAAAAAUAGUUGUAAAAUGAUACUUUAAAUAUAUGUAAUGCCAGCUUCCUCAA
Long non-coding RNA from Asparagus officinalis (garden asparagus), 1038 nucleotides. RefSeq lists it as uncharacterized. The transcript is spliced from 2 exons. NCBI's taxonomy places the organism in Eukaryota, Viridiplantae, Streptophyta, Magnoliopsida, Asparagales, Asparagaceae. The record is from RefSeq and is a predicted model, not a curated record.